AGAGUUUGAUCCUGGCUCAGGAUGAACGCUGGCGGCGUGCUUAACACAUGCAAGUCGAACGGGAUCCAUCAGGCUUUGCUUGGUGGUGAGAGUGGCGAACGGGUGAGUAAUGCGUGACCGACCUGCCCCAUACACCGGAAUAGCUCCUGGAAACGGGUGGUAAUGCCGGAUGCUCCGACUCCUCGCAUGGGGUGUCGGGAAAGAUUUCAUCGGUAUGGGAUGGGGUCGCGUCCUAUCAGGUAGUCGGCGGGGUAACGGCCCACCGAGCCUACGACGGGUAGCCGGCCUGAGAGGGCGACCGGCCACAUUGGGACUGAGAUACGGCCCAGACUCCUACGGGAGGCAGCAGUGGGGAAUAUUGCACAAUGGGCGCAAGCCUGAUGCAGCGACGCCGCGUGCGGGAUGACGGCCUUCGGGUUGUAAACCGCUUUUGAUCGGGAGCAAGCCUUCGGGUGAGUGUACCUUUCGAAUAAGCACCGGCUAACUACGUGCCAGCAGCCGCGGUAAUACGUAGGGUGCAAGCGUUAUCCGGAAUUAUUGGGCGUAAAGGGCUCGUAGGCGGUUCGUCGCGUCCGGUGUGAAAGUCCAUCGCUUAACGGUGGAUCUGCGCCGGGUACGGGCGGGCUGGAGUGCGGUAGGGGAGACUGGAAUUCCCGGUGUAACGGUGGAAUGUGUAGAUAUCGGGAAGAACACCAAUGGCGAAGGCAGGUCUCUGGGCCGUUACUGACGCUGAGGAGCGAAAGCGUGGGGAGCGAACAGGAUUAGAUACCCUGGUAGUCCACGCCGUAAACGGUGGAUGCUGGAUGUGGGGCCCGUUCCACGGGUUCCGUGUCGGAGCUAACGCGUUAAGCAUCCCGCCUGGGGAGUACGGCCGCAAGGCUAAAACUCAAAGAAAUUGACGGGGGCCCGCACAAGCGGCGGAGCAUGCGGAUUAAUUCGAUGCAACGCGAAGAACCUUACCUGGGCUUGACAUGUUCCCGACAGCCGUAGAGAUAUGGCCUCCCUUCGGGGCGGGUUCACAGGUGGUGCAUGGUCGUCGUCAGCUCGUGUCGUGAGAUGUUGGGUUAAGUCCCGCAACGAGCGCAACCCUCGCCCUGUGUUGCCAGCGCGUCAUGGUGGGAACUCGCGGGGGACCGCCGGGGUCAACUCGGAGGAAGGUGGGGAUGACGUCAGAUCAUCAUGCCCCUUACGUCCAGGGCUUCACGCAUGCUACAAUGGCCGGUACAACGGGAUGCGACACGGCGACGUGGAGCGGAUCCCUGAAAACCGGUCUCAGUUCGGAUUGGAGUCUGCAACCCGACUCCAUGAAGGCGGAGUCGCUAGUAAUCGCGGAUCAGCAACGCCGCGGUGAAUGCGUUCCCGGGCCUUGUACACACCGCCCGUCAAGUCAUGAAAGUGGGUAGCACCCGAAGCCGGUGGCCUAACCCUUUGUGGAUGGAGCCGUCUAAGGUGAGACUCGUGAUUGGGACUAAGUCGUAACAAGGUAGCC
Molecule: ribosomal RNA, 1489 nt
Filed under: uncultured bacterium
Lineage: Bacteria
Description: bacterial SSU rRNA
Rfam family: Bacterial small subunit ribosomal RNA
Source: RNAcentral